UCCAGACGAACUGCUAGCCACAACUGA
RNAcentral lists this small RNA (27 nucleotides) under Bombyx mori (domestic silkworm). RNAcentral describes it as "ovarian small RNA-26750". Lineage: Eukaryota; Metazoa; Arthropoda; Insecta; Lepidoptera; Bombycidae. The record is from RNAcentral.